This 306-nucleotide ribosomal RNA is filed under the name uncultured bacterium. RNAcentral describes it as "partial 16S ribosomal RNA". It matches the Rfam family "Bacterial small subunit ribosomal RNA", at positions 505 to 810 of the family's 1533-position model. The record is from RNAcentral.
GACAGCAGCAGCCGCGGUAAUACGUAGGUCCCGAGCGUUGUCCGGAUUUAUUGGGCGUAAAGCGAGCGCAGGCGGUUAGAUAAGUCUGAAGUUAAAGGCUGUGGCUUAACCAUAGUACGCUUUGGAAACUGUUUAACUUGAGUGCAAGAGGGGAGAGUGGAAUUCCAUGUGUAGCGGUGAAAUGCGUAGAUAUAUGGAGGAACACCGGUGGCGAAAGCGGCUCUCUGGCUUGUAACUGACGCUGAGGCUCGAAAGCGUGGGGAGCAAACAGGAUUAGAUACCCCAGUAGUCCCUGUCUCUUAUACU